RNAcentral lists this microRNA precursor (62 nucleotides) under Mus pahari (shrew mouse). RNAcentral's name for it is "microRNA 6975 (MGP_PahariEiJ_G0007050.1)". Lineage: Eukaryota; Metazoa; Chordata; Mammalia; Rodentia; Muridae. The record is from RNAcentral.
AGACGGCUGGGAAGAGAGGGGGUUUGGCAUGGUGCAAAAAUGUCUCUCCUUUCUCCUUCUAG